This 440-nucleotide ribosomal RNA is filed under the name uncultured bacterium. RNAcentral describes it as "partial 16S ribosomal RNA". It matches the Rfam family "Bacterial small subunit ribosomal RNA", at positions 338 to 795 of the family's 1533-position model. The record is from RNAcentral.
CCUACGGGUGGCAGCAGUGAGGAAUAUUGGACAAUGGGGGAAACCCUGAUCCAGCGACGCCGCGUGAGUGAAGAAGUAUUUCGGUACGUAAAGCUCUAUCAGCAGGAAAGAAAAUGACGGUACCUGACUAAGAAGCCCCGGCUAACUACGUGCCAGCAGCCGCGGUAAUACGUAGGGAGCAAGCGUGAUCCGGAUUUACUGGGUGUAAAGGGAGCGUAGACGGCAGCGCAAGUCUGGAGUGAAAUGCCGGGGCCCAACCCCGGAACUGCUGUGGGAACUGGGGAGCUGGAGUGCAGGAGAGGUAGGCGGAAUUCGUGGUGUAGCGGUGAAAUGCGUAGAUAUGAGGAGGAACACCGGCGGCGAAGGCGGCUUACUGCACUGUAACUGACGUUGAGGCUCGAAGGCGUGGGGAGCGAACAGGAUUAGAUACCCCUGUAGUC